GAGCGGGGCGGAGGAGGGAGGAGCCAGAGCGGCCGCCACACUCGCCCCCCGUCCCCCCGCGCUCACUCUCUCUCACACCCGGGCGCUGGAAGCGGGCGGCCCGGGCCCCACCGGCCCCCCAUGGACGCCCCCGGUACGGGGCGCUGAGACCCCAGCGUUGUUGCCCAGCCGGGUCCAGCGCGCCACGCCGAGGGAUUAAACUCAGAUGCACUCAGCCACUGAGCCACCCACCCAGCCUUAUUUUGUAUUUUAUUUAGAGACAGGGUCUCACUGAGUUGCUUAGUGCCUUGCUAAGUUGCUGAGGCUGGCUUUGACUCGCAAUCCUCCUGCUUCAGCCUCCUGAGCCGCUGGGAUUACAGGUGUGAACAACUGAGGAUGUUAACCAUCUUUUCUGAGAGUCUCACUAUGUUGUUCAGGCUGGUCUCAAACUCAUGGAAGUAGCUGGGACUACAGGUACACUGCUACACCUGGCUUCAAUGCAUCUUUUUAAAAACAAAUAUUUAACUCUACUACCCUGAAGUGAAAUUAACAAGCAAUAUAAAUUACCUGGAUACACAAUUUAAAAAGCAGAUCAAUAUAAUUUUCUGGCUAUUAAAGAAAAAUAAAGACAAGAAGAAGGCAUUUCAAUAUGCAAAUACUUGGGCACUAUUCUACACUGGAAGUUAGAGGAAAAUAGGAAACUCUACCCCCAGCCCUAGAAUCACUAAGAAUGUGAUAGGGAAAAAUAUAGACUGACCGAGGAGAGUUGAAUUAGGCAGAAUUGCCAUUGGUCUGACUUUCCAAAAUGGUGAACAACUCUUGAUAAAGUUCAGAACAAUACAAAACAAUUUACAUAGUGGUUGCAUUGCUGGAAAAGACAGGUCAUAUUAAAUAUGUGCAAAAAUAUUGCAUAUUUGUGCUUUCCUUUUCAGGCUAAGAACCUAAAAGACCUAAAAACAACUAAAAUCCUGGAUAAAACUUUUUUUUUAAAUCUUAAACGCUGCUGGGCAUGGUGGUGCAUGCCUGUAAUCCCAGUGGCUUGGGAGGCUGAGGCAAGAGGAUCACUAGUUCAAAGCCAGCCUUAGCAAUUUAGUAAGGCCUUAAACAACUCACUGAGACCCUGUCUCUAAAUAAGAUAUAAAAAAAGGGCUGGGGAUGUGGCUCAGUGAUUAAGCGCCUCUGAAUUCAAUCCACAGUACCAAAAAAAUCUUAAAUGCUGGGGCUCCGGUUGUGGCUCAGUGUAAAAUGCUUGCCUGGCAUGUGGGAGAGGCCGUGGGUUUGAUUUUCAGCACUACAUAUUAAUUAAUUAAUUAAUUAAUUAAUUAAAGGUCCAUGGACAACUAAAAUAUAUUUAAAAAAAAAAUCUCAGAGGGCUGGGGCUAUGGCUCAGCGGUAGCGCA
Long non-coding RNA from Marmota monax (woodchuck), 1379 nucleotides. RefSeq lists it as uncharacterized. NCBI's taxonomy places the organism in Eukaryota, Metazoa, Chordata, Mammalia, Rodentia, Sciuridae. The transcript is spliced from 3 exons. The record is from RefSeq and is a predicted model, not a curated record.